This 497-nucleotide ribosomal RNA is filed under the name uncultured bacterium. RNAcentral's name for it is "partial 16S ribosomal RNA". It matches the Rfam family "Bacterial small subunit ribosomal RNA", at positions 28 to 507 of the family's 1533-position model. The record is from RNAcentral.
GAUGAACGCUGGCGGCGUGCCUAAUACAUGCAAGUCGAGCGAACAGACGAGGAGCUUGCUCCUCUGACGUUAGCGGCGGACGGGUGAGUAACACGUGGAUAACCUACCUAUAAGACUGGGAUAACUUCGGGAAACCGGAGCUAAUACCGGAUAAUAUAUUGAACCGCAUGGUUCAAUAGUGAAAGACGGUUUUGCUGGCACUUAUAGAUGGAUCCGCGCCGCAUUAGCUAGUUGGUAAGGUAACGGCUUACCAAGGCAACGAUGCGUAGCCGACCUGAGAGGGUGAUCGGCCACACUGGAACUUAGCCACGGUCCAGACUCCUACGGGAGGCAGCAGUAGGGAAUCUUCCGCAAUGGGCGAAAGCCUGACGGAGCAACGCCGCGUGAGUGAUGAAGGUCUUCGGAUCGUAAAACUCUGUUAUUAGGGAAGAACAAAUGUGUAAGUAACUAUGCACGUCUUGACGGUACCUAAUCAGAAAGCCACGGCUAACUACGUG